UGAGGAAUAUUGGUCAAUGGGCGCAAGCCUGAACCAGCCAUCCCGCGUGCAGGAUGACGGCCCUAUGGGUUGUAAACUGCUUUUAUACAGGAAGAAAAAUCUCCACGUGUGGGGACUUGCCGGUACUGUAUGAAUAAGCAUCGGCUAACUCCGUGCCAGCAGCCGCGGUAAUACGGAGGAUGCAAGCGUUAUCCGGAUUCAUUGGGUUUAAAGGGUGCGUAGGCGGCUCUUUAAGUCAGUGGUGAAAUCCUGCCGCUUAACGGUAGAAUUGCCAUUGAUACUGAAGAGCUUGAGUACAAUUGAGGUAAGCGGAAUGUGUAGUGUAGCGGUGAAAUGCUUAGAUAUUACACAGAACACCAAUUGCGAAGGCAGCUUACUAAACUGUUACUGACGCUGAUGCACGAAAGCGUGGGGAGCGAACA
This 422-nucleotide ribosomal RNA is filed under the name uncultured bacterium. RNAcentral describes it as "bacterial SSU rRNA". It matches the Rfam family "Bacterial small subunit ribosomal RNA", at positions 355 to 774 of the family's 1533-position model. The record is from RNAcentral. RNAcentral also lists the same sequence under 1 other name.